AUACGUAGGUGGCAAGCGUUGUCCGGAAUUACUGGGUGUAAAGGGAGCGUAGGCGGGAAGACAAGUCAAGUGUCAAAUCUAUCGGCUCAACCGGUAGCCGCGCUUGAAACUGUUUUUCUUGAGUGGAGUAGAGGCAGGCGGAAUUCCUAGUGUAGCGGUGAAAUGCGUAGAUAUUAGGAGGAACACCAGUGGCGAAGGCGGCCUGCUGGGUCUUUUACUGACGCUGAGGCUCGAAAGUGUGGGGAGC
RNAcentral lists this ribosomal RNA (247 nucleotides) under uncultured bacterium. Its description in RNAcentral is "partial 16S ribosomal RNA". It matches the Rfam family "Bacterial small subunit ribosomal RNA", at positions 523 to 769 of the family's 1533-position model. The record is from RNAcentral.